CUCGUGGGAGGGGGAGCACAGGUGAGCAGGUACAGGAGGAGCUGGGGAAGCACUCUUGGGCACAUGCAGGAGUGAAUUCCGUACCGGCCCCACAGCAGCAUCAGCGGGGCGGGGGUGCCCACGACCCCCGAAGCCCCAGAGGAACUGUCACAGUACUCUUUUAGCUCUGCCCUCUGUGGAUGGCUUAAGUGUUAACAGCUCAGUGGACCCUAUGUCUUUUAGCAUAAGGCGGCUACCUUCUGCCAGCGAGGGCAAAGGGUCAGUGUGGCAGCCUUUUGCCUCCACACUCACUGCACCUGAGCUGUUGUCAAGCAUCCAGGAGAAAUGAAGUAGCACAAACGAAUUGGAGGAUGGUAAAUGUGGGGGAUUUUAUUGCUGUUGGACGUGGCUCUCAGAGGGAAGAGGAGCUGAAAAGCAGACAGAGAAGGAAGAGACACGGACACUUCGGAAAGCGUUCUGCGGACAGUUAUCAAGAUGAUGAAUUGCAGUGAACACCAAGACACAAAAGCAAAGACUUGGAACCAACCGAAACAUCCAUCAAUGAUAGACUGAAUAAAGAAAAUGUGGCACAUAUACACCACGGAAUACUUUGCAGCCAAAAAAAAGGACGAGUUUAUGUCCUUUGCAGGGACAUUAAUGAAGUUGGAAACCAUCAUUCUCAUCAAACUAACAGAAGAACAGAAAACUAAACACCGCAUGUUCUCAUUCAUAAGUGGAAGUUCAACCAUGAGAACACACGGACACAAGGAGGGGAAUAUCACACACCGGGGCCUAUCGGGGGGUGGCAGGCUUGGGGAGGGAGAGCAUUAGGGGAAAUACCUAAUAUAGAUGACGGGUUGAUGGGAGCAGCAAACCACCAUGGCACGUGUAUACCUAUGUAACAAACCUGUAUGUUCUGCACAUGUAUUCCAAAACUUUAAAUGUAAUAAAACAAUUUAAAAAUGUGUUCAAU
This 952-nucleotide long non-coding RNA is filed under the name Homo sapiens (human). Its description in RNAcentral is "HSALNT0086042". Lineage: Eukaryota; Metazoa; Chordata; Mammalia; Primates; Hominidae. The record is from RNAcentral.